This 229-nucleotide ribosomal RNA is filed under the name Rhizoctonia solani AG-R. RNAcentral describes it as "partial 5.8S ribosomal RNA". Lineage: Eukaryota; Fungi; Basidiomycota; Agaricomycetes; Cantharellales; Ceratobasidiaceae. The record is from RNAcentral.
GAAAUCUUCAAAGUCAAUCUUUUGUUAAUUCAAUUGGUUGUGCUUUGGUAUUGGAGGUCUAUUGCAGCUUCACCCCUGCUCCUCUUUGUACAUUAGCUGGAUCUCGGUGUUAUGCUUGGUUCCACUCGGCGUGAUAAGUUAUCUAUCGCUGAGGACACUGGUAAAAAGGUGGCCAAGGUAAACGCAUGAAUGAACCGCUUCCAACCGUCCAUUGACUUGGACAAUACUC